Long non-coding RNA from Haliotis rubra (blacklip abalone), 107 nucleotides. RefSeq lists it as uncharacterized. The record is from RefSeq and is a predicted model, not a curated record. The transcript is spliced from 4 exons. Lineage: Eukaryota; Metazoa; Mollusca; Gastropoda; Lepetellida; Haliotidae.
UAUCUUCAUACCAUUGUUUCGGCCGAAGAAAUCCUGACGUAGAUACAGCCUGAUGUGUUGUAUCUUGUCUGUGUUUGAGUUGUUCAGGUACACAGUCCAUGUUUGGU